GGUCCCAUAGCUCAGUUGGUUAGAGCGUCGUACUAAUAUUAUGAUUGUAUCGUAAUGUCAGUAAAUGCGAAGGCCGUGAGUUCAAGCCUCACUGGGACCA
Molecule: transfer RNA, 100 nt
Filed under: Xylaria sp. CBS 124048
Lineage: Eukaryota; Fungi; Ascomycota; Sordariomycetes; Xylariales; Xylariaceae
Description: tRNA-Ile
Rfam family: tRNA
About the family: Transfer RNA (tRNA) molecules are approximately 80 nucleotides in length.
Source: RNAcentral